RNAcentral lists this ribosomal RNA (353 nucleotides) under uncultured bacterium. RNAcentral describes it as "partial 16S ribosomal RNA". It matches the Rfam family "Bacterial small subunit ribosomal RNA", at positions 338 to 708 of the family's 1533-position model. The record is from RNAcentral.
CCUACGGGUGGCAGCAGUGGGGAAUAUUGGGCAAUGGGCGCAAGCCUGACCCAGCGACGCCGCGUGAGUGAAGAAGUAUCUCGGUACGUAAAGCUCUAUCAUCAGAGAAGAAAAUGACGGUACCUGACGAAGAAGCACCGGCUAACUACGUGCCAGCAGCCGCGGUAAUACGUAGGGGGCAAGCGUUAUCCGGAUUUACUGGGUGUAAAGAGAGCGUAGACGGUAGGACAAGUCUGGAGUGAAAUCCCAUGGCUUAACCAUGGAACUGCUUUGGAAACUGUUCGGCUGGAGUGCAGGAGGGGUAAGCGGAAUUCCUAGUGUAGGGGUAAAAUCCGUAGAGAUUAGGAGGAAUA